Molecule: ribosomal RNA, 297 nt
Filed under: uncultured bacterium
Lineage: Bacteria
Description: partial 16S ribosomal RNA
Rfam family: Bacterial small subunit ribosomal RNA
Source: RNAcentral
CUAUGCGCCUUGCCAGCCCGCUCAGGUGUGCCAGCCGCCGCGGUAAUACGGAGGGGGCGAGCGUUGUUCGGAGUGACUGGGCGUAAAGAGCACGUAGGCGGUGUUGUAAGUCACUAGUCAAAGACUAGAGCUCAACUUUAGUAAGGCUAGUGAUACUAUAAUACUAGAGUAUCAGAGAGGAUUGCAGAAUUCCUGGUGUAGCGGUGAAAUGCGUAGAUAUCAGGAGGAAUACCGUUAGCGAAGGCGGCAAUCUGGCUGGAAACUGACGCUGAGUGCGAAAGCGUGGUAGCAAACAGG